GUGCUGCAAAGCACGUCAAGACCAUCAGGUACAAGGUAGUGAAGAAAUAUUAAUAAUAAAUAGCAUGCCUCCUGUGCAAGGAUGACACGCAAAUUCAUGAAGCGUUCCAUAAUUUA
RNAcentral lists this small nuclear RNA (116 nucleotides) under Salvator merianae (Argentine black and white tegu). The record is from RNAcentral. Lineage: Eukaryota; Metazoa; Chordata; Lepidosauria; Squamata; Teiidae.